GGGGGCGCACCGGUUUCGACGGGGAACAGGGCGGUUCGCGGGUGCGUGCCGAGCUAGCGCUCGUAAAACGGCACUUCACAACUGCCAACGACAACUUCGCCCUGGCGGCUUGAUUGACCGCCACGUUCUGGCCAUGGGCCCUCGUCCACGGCACGGGCCAGAGCGUCGCUAAAGUGGACCGAACGCCACGGUUGGCUCCGUACCGCGGCGGGAUCGUCGAAACGUAGCUGGCGCCUGCGCCGGGGGCCUUCUCCCACUGCGCAGGGGCGAUGACCUGAAACGAAGGCUACGCGCGUAGAUGCUCGCGGGACGCGUUCUCCGGACGUGGGUUCGACUCCCACCGCCUCCACCA
This 352-nucleotide transfer-messenger RNA is filed under the name Thermoanaerobaculia. RNAcentral describes it as "JAAYLR01 sp012521815 Standard tmRNA". It matches the Rfam family "transfer-messenger RNA". From Rfam's summary of the family: Bacterial tmRNA, also known as 10Sa RNA or SsrA, is named for its dual tRNA and mRNA-like properties. RNAcentral also lists the same sequence under 2 other names. Lineage: Bacteria; Pseudomonadati; Acidobacteriota. The record is from RNAcentral.